This 1463-nucleotide ribosomal RNA is filed under the name uncultured Klebsiella sp. RNAcentral describes it as "bacterial SSU rRNA". It matches the Rfam family "Bacterial small subunit ribosomal RNA". The record is from RNAcentral. Lineage: Bacteria; Pseudomonadati; Pseudomonadota; Gammaproteobacteria; Enterobacterales; Enterobacteriaceae.
AUUGAACGCUGGCGGCAGGCCUAACACAUGCAAGUCGAGCGGUAGCACAGAGAGCUUGCUCUCGGGUGACGAGCGGCGGACGGGUGAGUAAUGUCUGGGAAACUGCCUGAUGGAGGGGGAUAACUACUGGAAACGGUAGCUAAUACCGCAUAAUGUCGCAAGACCAAAGUGGGGGACCUUCGGGCCUCAUGCCAUCAGAUGUGCCCAGAUGGGAUUAGCUAGUAGGUGGGGUAAUGGCUCACCUAGGCGACGAUCCCUAGCUGGUCUGAGAGGAUGACCAGCCACACUGGAACUGAGACACGGUCCAGACUCCUACGGGAGGCAGCAGUGGGGAAUAUUGCACAAUGGGCGCAAGCCUGAUGCAGCCAUGCCGCGUGUGUGAAGAAGGCCUUCGGGUUGUAAAGCACUUUCAGCGGGGAGGAAGGCGAUAAGGUUAAUAACCUUGUCGAUUGACGUUACCCGCAGAAGAAGCACCGGCUAACUCCGUGCCAGCAGCCGCGGUAAUACGGAGGGUGCAAGCGUUAAUCGGAAUUACUGGGCGUAAAGCGCACGCAGGCGGUCUGUCAAGUCGGAUGUGAAAUCCCCGGGCUCAACCUGGGAACUGCAUUCGAAACUGGCAGGCUAGAGUCUUGUAGAGGGGGGUAGAAUUCCAGGUGUAGCGGUGGAAUGCGUAGAGAUCUGGAGGAAUACCGGUGGCGAAGGCGGCCCCCUGGACAAAGACUGACGCUCAGGUGCGAAAGCGUGGGGAGCAAACAGGAUUAGAUACCCUGGUAGUCCACGCCGUAAACGAUGUCGAUUUGGAGGUUGUGCCCUUGAGGCGUGGCUUCCGGAGCUAACGCGUUAAAUCGACCGCCUGGGGAGUACGGCCGCAAGGUUAAAACUCAAAUGAAUUGACGGGGGCCCGCACAAGCGGUGGAGCAUGUGGUUUAAUUCGAUGCAACGCGAAGAACCUUACCUGGUCUUGACAUCCACAGAACUUAGCAGAGAUGCUUUGGUGCCUUCGGGAACUGUGAGACAGGUGCUGCAUGGCUGUCGUCAGCUCGUGUUGUGAAAUGUUGGGUUAAGUCCCGCAACGAGCGCAACCCUUAUCCUUUGUUGCCAGCGGUUAGGCCGGGAACUCAAAGGAGACUGCCAGUGAUAAACUGGAGGAAGGUGGGGAUGACGUCAAGUCAUCAUGGCCCUUACGACCAGGGCUACACACGUGCUACAAUGGCAUAUACAAAGAGAAGCGACCUCGCGAGAGCAAGCGGACCUCAUAAAGUAUGUCGUAGUCCGGAUUGGAGUCUGCAACUCGACUCCAUGAAGUCGGAAUCGCUAGUAAUCGUAGAUCAGAAUGCUACGGUGAAUACGUUCCCGGGCCUUGUACACACCGCCCGUCACACCAUGGGAGUGGGUUGCAAAAGAAGUAGGUAGCUUAACCUUCGGGAGGGCGCUUACCACUUUGUGAUUCAUGACUGGGGUGA